RNAcentral lists this ribosomal RNA (420 nucleotides) under bacterium. RNAcentral describes it as "partial 16S ribosomal RNA". It matches the Rfam family "Bacterial small subunit ribosomal RNA", at positions 355 to 776 of the family's 1533-position model. The record is from RNAcentral.
UGGGGGAUAUUGCACAAUGGGCGAAAGCCUGAUGCAGCGACGCCGCGUGGGGGAUGAAGGCUUUCGGGUUGUAAACCUCUUUCGCUAUCGAACAAGGCCCGCUUAGGGUGGGUUGAGGGUAGGUGGAGAAGAAGCGCCGGCUAACUACGUGCCAGCAGCCGCGGUAAUACGUAGGGCGCGAGCGUUGUCCGGAAUUAUUGGGCGGAAAGGGCUUGUAGGCGGCUUGUUGCGCCUGCUGUGAAAACGCGGGGCUUAACUUCGCGAGGGCAGUGGGUACGGGCAGGCUUGAGUGUGGUAGGGGUGACUGGAAUUCCAGGUGUAGCGGUGGAAUGCGCAGAUAUCUGGAGGAACACCGAUGGCGAAGGCAGGUCACUGGGCCAUUACUGACGCUGAGGAGCGAAAGCAUGGGUAGAGAACAGG